AGCAUUUUGCAUGUUCUGACUGUUGGUUCGCGCUCACCCUUAACACUGAGUGAAUGAACUGAGGUGGCAUACUGGGGAUGCGGACUGUGCCCAGCCAGGACUGACCUCUUCAGGCCUCCGAUUCUGGCUCAGAGCAGCAGAGACCAAUUUCAUCAAGACCUUCCUCUGGACAAAGGCUCACUCGACCCAACCCAGCCUGCGUGGCCCGCCCAGACCGUGAAGGGACAGUCCUCCCAGCUGCUUCUGGCCCCUACUCAGGGGGGCACAUCCUCCACGCCCACCUACCCCCACAUGCCACAAGGGUUCUCAUCAGAGUCCUGCCCUCAACCAUAAUGAAUGGAGGAAUGAACACGGCCGAGGUCCUGGAUUCUUGCUCGGCCUCAUCUCUGCCUGUGUGUCAUUUCUGCAAUGGGUGCAGCUUCUACAGAGAGAAGGUCGUGGGCCAGAGGCGGAGCCCCAUCCCCAUCCAGAUCCCCAGAGGGACCUCAGAAUUGUUGGUGUUUCCACGGGCCGCCUCCGGGACAAUGACUUUUGCUCAGCUGGUCCCAUGAAGCAUCCCCUCCAAUCUCCGUGAUGUCUGUUUCAAACUACAAAAUGCUGGACUUGGCUGGCCCCCCUUCUAUUUACCAAGAAAGUUCGAGCAGAUGGCAUUCCGCGCAUCUCUACCAAACCUAGAUUCUUGCUCUUCGCAGAUAUUCACAGAAGCUGAAAAACUCUCCCAAGCUCUGCUUGUUUCGGGGGGCCUCAUUCAAAGCCCAUCUUCCUUCCUCCAAGCCAGACUGGGAUUCCAGCAUCGGGAUCCCACUUUCCCCUGCUUCUUCAGUUGUGGAAAGGCUGGAGGACAUCCUCUGAAAUGCUCCCAGCCUUUGGCAAGAGAAGGAAGGAGGCCCAAACCAGUCCCUGACCCACAGGGAGACGCCACUCAUCUUCUCAACGAAGAACUUGGAAUUGAUGGUGUUGACAUGAGGUCCUACAGGACACUGCCCUCUGCCCACUUGGGCUCCCAGCCAUGCCCAGAAGGCUCCAUGAAGUCAGCUGCAAAACAGUCAACAAUCACAUGUACCCACCCCUAAACACUGAGACCCUAAAGUGACUCUUGUAAUCCAAGAGAUGAGUUUUGGCCCCAAUCUUGGCCAAUAUCCUUCGACUUUCCCCUGAGUCCCCUGAACAGACUUCGAUGAGGCCUUUCUCUUGAUCAGGGCUCCCCAGAUCCUCACAACCUCCAGGACCCUCCAUUUGAAAGCGGAGCCUAUUGUCCUGGUUCUCUCCCCUCUUGAUUGUUACAUAGGGUGGGGACUUGUUCGGACACCUCUGGAAACACAAACAUAAUCAGGUAAUUGUCCUCACAUAACAUUUACACUAAUUUUCUCUCCUAUCUUUAGUGUAAUUUCUCUAAAACAUUUCAAGAAAGACUAUACCUUCAGUGAAUGGAUUUUGCAAAGACUGUUAGAGGUCUACCCUGUAAUUCUUCUUCAAGUACAACCAUUCCCACCUUCAUAAAGGGAAGAUUAGAACCCUGUAAUGUUUCGGUGCUGUACUUUUAGAAGGAAAGUGCCCAUUUUGGAUUUGGGACAUCAUUGUUCUGGAAUAAUGAGAUGGUGGUCCACCCCUCUCAUGCCUGCAGUUCACUAUCUUAUGCCAUUAACGAGGAGACUGCCAUUUUCUGCUCCUGGUGUGUAGGUGGGGGACUACUUGUUAAUGGUUUCUGUGGGAAAGGCAUGAGUAGGGAAGGCUACUAAGUGACUGUGGAAAGUAGGGAGUUCAUGGACUGAGAAUGGAAGAUGUGAGGACGUGAUUGUCUGUGUGGGAUGUCUGAUCUCUCUAUAGAUCCGGUGCAAUUUGGGGCAGGACUCUGUGUGGACAGGGAUGCCUCUACAGUAAUCCAAGGGCCAGAAACCUACUGGCCAUUCUCCAGGAAUACGAGCUUUUCCCACAAGACCAAUGGAACGUGAGGAUUUCUUCUGUCUUUUUUGAAUAUUUUGUGUCUUGUAAACAGACUGGGUUAUAGACAAUGGCAUCAGCUCACAGUGUGUUUUCAUCUAUGCCUAGAAUCAGGACUAGAACAAGACACCCUAAACCAAUGCCAGUGCGACUUUUGGGGUGAAUGAUCGAACGACUAAUAAAAUAAAGUCAUCUUCCCUAAACA
This 2146-nucleotide long non-coding RNA is filed under the name Monodelphis domestica (gray short-tailed opossum). RNAcentral describes it as "lncRNA (ENSMODG00000035157.2)". The record is from RNAcentral. Lineage: Eukaryota; Metazoa; Chordata; Mammalia; Didelphimorphia; Didelphidae.